UACGUAGGCGGUGAUUCAAGUCAGAGGUGAAAGCCUGGAGCUCAACUCCAGAACUGCCUUUGAAACUAGAUCGCUAGAAUCAUGGAGAGGUUAGUGGAAUUCCGAGUGUAGAGGUGAAAUUCGUAGAUAUUCGGAAGAACACCAGUGGCGAAGGCGACUAACUGGACAUGUAUUGACGCUGAGGUACGAAAGCGUGGGGAGCAAACAGGAUUAGAUACCCUGGUAGUCCACGCCGUAAACGAUGAUAACUAGCUGUUCGGGGUCUACGAUCCUGAGUGGCGCAGCUAACGCAUUAAGUUAUCCGCCUGGGGAGUACGGUCGCAAGAUUAAA
Molecule: ribosomal RNA, 331 nt
Filed under: uncultured Sphingopyxis sp.
Lineage: Bacteria; Pseudomonadati; Pseudomonadota; Alphaproteobacteria; Sphingomonadales; Sphingopyxidaceae
Description: bacterial SSU rRNA
Rfam family: Bacterial small subunit ribosomal RNA
Source: RNAcentral